This 81-nucleotide unclassified non-coding RNA is filed under the name Martinezella multihospitum. Its description in RNAcentral is "Rhizobium multihospitium microRNA mir-598". The record is from RNAcentral. Lineage: Bacteria; Pseudomonadati; Pseudomonadota; Alphaproteobacteria; Hyphomicrobiales; Rhizobiaceae.
UGAUGGUGAUGAUGAUGACCAUGGUCGCCAUGAUCAUGGUCGUGAUGAUCGUGGUCGUGAUGAUCGUGGUCAUCAUGGUGA